AUGGAGGGAGGGGAGAUGUGCGGCAAGAGCGUGAGUGAGGAGGUGAAGCCGGAGUGGGAGGAAGGAGAGGUCUUGAUGCAGGGAGAGGGCGGAGGCGGAGGGGAUGGGGGUGCUGCGACGGCGGCGGGGGAAGCCAUGGCGCCGGUGCAGAUCGACGUGAGGAUGGACGUGGCGCUGCUGCACUGCCAGGCCUGCCUCCUCCCCCUCAAGCCUCCCGUGUUCAAGUGCGAGGCCGCCGGGCACGUGGUGUGCUGCUUCUGCCGCGCCGGCCACGCCGCCCUCUGCAGCCGCGCCGGCACCCACUGCGGCGAGCUAGACGCCGUGCUCGGCGCCGCCAAGGUGCCGUGCCCCUACAAGGUGUUCGGCUGCGAGCGCUACGUGGUGUACCACGGCGCGGCGGACCACCAGCGCGCGUGCCAGUGCGCGCCCUGCUCCUGCCCGGAGCCCGGCUGCGUCUUCGUGGGAUCCCGCGCGAUGCUGCUCGACCACUUCGCCGCCGGCCACCAGCGCCACGCGGUCACGGUCCGCUACGGCCGGCCUUGGAACCUCGGCUUCUCCCUGUCGCGCCGCUGGCACGUGCUCGUCGGGGAGGACCGCAGCGUGUUCCUCGUGUCCCUCGGCCCGCUCGGCGCUGCCACCGCCGUGUCGCUGGUCUGCGUCAGGCCGGACGGCGCGGGCGAGGCGGCGCCCCAGUUCCGGUGCAAGCUGUCCGUGGAGCGCCCGGCGGGCGACGACAAGGACAACCUGGUCCUCAUGACCUCGGCGGUGAGCAGCAGCGCGCUGUCCACCGGCGCGCCGGCGCCGGGGCAGGGGAUGUUCUUGGCGGUGCCCCAGGAGCUGCUCUCCGGCGACACACUGAUGCUCAGCGUCCGGAUUGAUCUGAUCCGACCGGCCGGCGGCGCUCCCAAGUCUGCUACACCACAGGCCAGGACGCCGAGGAGGAUGCAGUGA
This 951-nucleotide ribosomal RNA is filed under the name Triticum aestivum (bread wheat). RNAcentral describes it as "partial small subunit ribosomal RNA". The record is from RNAcentral. Lineage: Eukaryota; Viridiplantae; Streptophyta; Magnoliopsida; Poales; Poaceae.